Molecule: ribosomal RNA, 545 nt
Filed under: Bifidobacterium dentium
Lineage: Bacteria; Bacillati; Actinomycetota; Actinomycetes; Bifidobacteriales; Bifidobacteriaceae
Description: bacterial SSU rRNA
Rfam family: Bacterial small subunit ribosomal RNA
Source: RNAcentral
CGGGUGGUAAUGCCGGAUGCUCCGGUUGGAUGCAUGUCCUUCCGGGAAAGGUUCCAUCGGUAUGGGAUGGGGUCGCGUCCUAUCAGCUUGAUGGCGGGGUAACGGCCCACCAUGGCUUCGACGGGUAGCCGGCCUGAGAGGGCGACCGGCCACAUUGGGACUGAGAUACGGCCCAGACUCCUACGGGAGGCAGCAGUGGGGAAUAUUGCACAAUGGGCGCAAGCCUGAUGCAGCGACGCCGCGUGCGGGAUGGAGGCCUUCGGGUUGUAAACCGCUUUUGAUCGGGAGCAAGCCCUUCGGGGUGAGUGUACCUUUCGAAUAAGCACCGGCUAACUACGUGCCAGCAGCCGCGGUAAUACGUAGGGUGCAAGCGUUAUCCGGAAUUAUUGGGCGUAAAGGGCUCGUAGGCGGUUCGUCGCGUCCGGUGUGAAAGCCCAUCGCUUAACGGUGGGUCUGCGCCGGGUACGGGCGGGCUGGAGUGCGGUAGGGGAGACUGGAAUUCCCGGUGUAACGGUGGAAUGUGUAGAUAUCGGAAAAAAACACCA